This 372-nucleotide ribosomal RNA is filed under the name uncultured organism. RNAcentral's name for it is "partial 16S ribosomal RNA". It matches the Rfam family "Bacterial small subunit ribosomal RNA", at positions 527 to 896 of the family's 1533-position model. The record is from RNAcentral.
GUAGGUGGCAAGCGUUGUCCGGAAUUAUUGGGCGUAAAGCGCGCGCAGGGCGGUCCUUUAAGUCUGAUGUGAAAGCCCACGGCUCAACCGUGGAGGGUCAUUGGAAACUGGGGGACUUGAGUACAGAAGAGGAAAGCGGAAUUCCAAGUGUAGCGGUGAAAUGCGUAGAGAUUUGGAGGAACACCAGUGGCGAAGGCGGCUUUCUGGUCUGUAACUGACGCUGAGGCGCGGAAGCGUGGGGAGCAAACAGGAUUAGAUACCCUGGUAGUCCACGCCGUAAACGAUGAGUGCUAAGUGUUAGGGGGUUUCCGCCCCUUAGUGCUGCAGCUAACGCAUUAAGCACUCCGCCUGGGGAGUACGGCCGCAAGGCUG